Molecule: long non-coding RNA, 805 nt
Organism: Oncorhynchus tshawytscha (Chinook salmon)
Lineage: Eukaryota; Metazoa; Chordata; Actinopteri; Salmoniformes; Salmonidae
Source: Ensembl
UAAAAGUGGAUUGAAAUCAUGCUAACCGCAGAGAUACGGUAGCUAGCUAGCUAACGACAAACGUUGAUUCAUGGCAGACUACAACCCAAAAAGGUGUAUUGCCAACAGGAUGGGGUUGAAAAAACAAGUCUCUCUUUCCUCUUUCUCUCUUUCUUUCUCUCUUCUUUCAGAGGACCUGAGCCCUAGGACCAUGCCUCAGUACUACCUGGCCUGAGGACUCCUUGCUGUCCCCAGUCCACCUGGUCAUGCUGCUGCUCCAGUUUCAACUGUUCUGCCUGCGGCUAUGGAACCCUGACCUGUUCACUGGACAUGCUACCUUGUCCCGGACCUGCUGUUUUGGACUCUCUCUCUACCACACCUGCUGUCUCUAACUCAGAAUGAUCGACUAUGAAAACCCAACUGACAUUUACUCCUGAGGUGCUGACCUGUUGCACCCUCUACAACCACUGUGAUUAUUAUUAUCUGACCCUACUGGUCAUCUAUGAACAUUUGAACAUCUUGUCCAUGUUCUGUUAUAAUCUCCACCCGGCCCAGCCAGAAGAGGUGUUACGGCUGAUUUCCUCCUCUUCAUCUGAAGAGGAGGUGUAGCAGGGAUCGGAAAAGAGCUUUAUAAAGAGCUUUAUAAAAUACAUUUGAUUGAUUGAUUGAUCGGGCUUUUUGCCUCUGCCUUGCUUAUUGAAACUACAACAUCAACAUCCCCACUACUAAGUUCUUGUUUAGCCAGUACAUCAACUGCCUCGUAACCCUUCACCCCCACGUGGGCUGGGACCCAAGUUAAUCAUAUCGGUAUACCCAUCUAUCUAAU